Molecule: ribosomal RNA, 478 nt
Filed under: uncultured bacterium
Lineage: Bacteria
Description: bacterial SSU rRNA
Rfam family: Bacterial small subunit ribosomal RNA
Source: RNAcentral
GAUGAACGCUAGCGGCAGGCUUAAUACAUGCAAGUCGAGGGGCAUCAAGGUACACGAAAGUGUAUUGUUGGCGACCGGCGGACGGGUGAGUAAUAGGUAGGUAACCUACCUCAUACUGAGGCAUAGCUGGGAGAAAUUCCAGGUAAUUCCUCAUGAGGUUAUAUGACACAUGUGAUAUAAUCAAAGGUAUCGCAAGGUACUGGUAUGAGAUGGGCUUACUGACCAUUAGCUAGUUGGUGAGAUAAGAGCUCACCAAGGCGAAGAUGGUUAGGGGUUUUGAGAGAGAGACUCCCCCACAUUGGAACUGAGAUACGGUCCAGACUCCUACGGGAGGCAGCAGUUGGGAAUCUUAGGCAAUGGACGAAAGUCUGACCUAGCGACGCCGCGUGAGGGAAGAAGGCCUUCGGGUUGUAAACCUCUGUCAUGGGGGAAGAAGUAAGUGACGGUACCCCAAGAGGAAGCCCCUGCUAACUACGUG